AGGCAAGCUCCUUGAGCAGUAAAACAAAUCAAGACAGCCUCAGGAAGUUCCCCAAACUUAUCAGAUUCACCAGGCUCUUUGCUGCCAGAAUGAACAACAAAAGCUGAGUCCCUCAUAGAAGGUAGAAAGCUGAGUGCCAAGAAGACCCAGAUAAGUUGAACUGGAAGAAGUUUAUAGCAGUUGAAGCUCUUAGAAAGGACACUCUCCAACCUGUCGAGCUGUCUGCAGGCUGUGCAGUGUGCUCCAGAUCGCUCACGCUGUCUUUGUGUCAUGUCAGCCUGUGGUACAUCACAGUUGCCUUUGGCCUAUCUGAAUUACUGGAAUGACUCCUUUUGUGUGUUAAAUGAAAUAAAGGUCAUCUGAACACAAGCAAC
Rattus norvegicus (Norway rat) is the source of this 374-nucleotide long non-coding RNA. Lineage: Eukaryota; Metazoa; Chordata; Mammalia; Rodentia; Muridae. The record is from Ensembl.